Molecule: ribosomal RNA, 506 nt
Filed under: uncultured bacterium
Lineage: Bacteria
Description: partial 16S ribosomal RNA
Rfam family: Bacterial small subunit ribosomal RNA
Source: RNAcentral
AGUGAACGCUGGCGGUAGGCCUAACACAUGCAAGUCGAACGGCAGCACAGGAGAGCUUGCUCUCUGGGUGGCGAGUGGCGGACGGGUGAGGAAUACAUCGGAAUCUACUUUUUCGUGGGGGAUAACGUAGGGAAAUUUACGCUACUACCGCAUACGACCUACGGGUGAAAGCAGGGGACCUUAGGGCCUUGCGCGAUUGAAUGAGCCGAUGUCGGAGUAGCUACGUGGCGGGGUAAAGGCCCACCAAGGCGACGAACCGUAGCUGGUCUGAGAGGAUGAUCAGCCACACUUGAAGUGAGACACGAUCCAGACUCCUACGGGAGGCAGCAGUGGGGAAUAUUGGACAGUGGGCGCAAGCCUGAUCCAGCCAUACCGCGUGGGUGAAGAAGGCCUUCGGGUUGUAAAGCCCUUUUGUUGGGAAAGAAAUCCAGCUGGCUAAUACCCGGUUGGGAUGACGGUACCCAAAGAAUAAGCACCGGCUAACUUCGUGCCAGCCGCCGCAGUAA